RNAcentral lists this ribosomal RNA (301 nucleotides) under uncultured bacterium. RNAcentral's name for it is "partial 16S ribosomal RNA". It matches the Rfam family "Bacterial small subunit ribosomal RNA", at positions 509 to 809 of the family's 1533-position model. The record is from RNAcentral.
CAGUCGCCACGGUAAUACGGAGGGGGCUAGCGUUGUUCGGAAUUACUGGGCGUAAAGCGCACGUAGGCGGCUUGGUAAGUUAGAGGUGAAAGCCUGGAGCUCAACUCCAGAAUUGCCUUUAAGACUGCCGAGCUAGCAGGUGAGAGAGGUAAGUGGAAUUCCGAGUGUAAAGGUGAAAUUCGUAGAUAUUCGGAAGAACACCAGUGGCGAAGGCGGCUUACUGGCUCAUACUGGACGCUGAGGUGCGAAAGCGUGGGGAGCAAACAGGAUUAGAUACCCGUGUAGUCCCUGUCUCUUAUAU